UACGUAGGGUGCAAGCGUUGUCCGGAAUUAUUGGGCGUAAAGAGCUCGUAGGCGGCUUGUCGCGUCGGCUGUGAAAACUCGGGGCUCAACCCCGAGCCUGCAGUCGAUACGGGCAGGCUAGAGUCCGGCAGGGGAGACUGGAAUUCCUGGUGUAGCGGUGAAAUGCGCAGAUAUCAGGAGGAACACCAAUUGCGAAGGCAGCUCGCUGGGACGUAACUGACGCUGAGACGCGAAAGCGUGGGGAGCAAACAGG
RNAcentral lists this ribosomal RNA (253 nucleotides) under uncultured bacterium. RNAcentral describes it as "partial 16S ribosomal RNA". It matches the Rfam family "Bacterial small subunit ribosomal RNA", at positions 524 to 776 of the family's 1533-position model. The record is from RNAcentral.